This 71-nucleotide transfer RNA is filed under the name Thermoplasmatales archaeon. Its description in RNAcentral is "tRNA-Arg". It matches the Rfam family "tRNA". Rfam says of the family: Transfer RNA (tRNA) molecules are approximately 80 nucleotides in length. Their secondary structure includes four short double-helical elements and three loops (D, anti-codon, and T loops). The record is from RNAcentral. Lineage: Archaea; Methanobacteriati; Thermoplasmatota; Thermoplasmata; Thermoplasmatales.
CGGAUAGGGUAGUCUGGAUAUCCUCGGGGCCUGCGGAGCCCUUGACCCGGGUUCGAAUCCCGGUCCGGGCA